Molecule: long non-coding RNA, 1675 nt
Organism: Thrips palmi
Lineage: Eukaryota; Metazoa; Arthropoda; Insecta; Thysanoptera; Thripidae
Exons: 2
Source: RefSeq, a predicted model, not a curated record
GCUGCGUCCAGGGUGCGGGGGCGUGGCCGGGGGCGGCCGCGGGGGCGGAGUCGGGACCUGACAGCGGAAGAGGAAGGGCUUCUGGAAAACACAGAGGACAUCCAGGACUUCUGUGAGGACUCGCCCUCUGUGCGGCGGGACCUGCUGGGUUCCUCGCCACCGCUUAUGCCACACCACGCCGUGAAGACGUGAACCUCAAGACUGCAAGUGGGAAAGAAGGACACUACUAUUUUUGAAUGAGAUUCUAAACACCGUCUUUUUUUUAAAUUCUAGUUAUUUAAAUGUGAGUCAAGUGCAGUGUGGUCACAGCCCACGCAUGCGUGGCAAUCAUUGACAAGUAUUUCAAUUUAAAUCGAUAAGUUCAGAGUUGUGGUGCAGCAACCAUAUCAUUCGGUGUGACUCAUUGGUUGCGUGUGUGCGUGCGUGUGAGUGCGCCUGCGCGCGUUUGAGAAUGUUAAUAUAAGUGUGAAAUUGUCGUGAGAGAUUGUGUGUGUGUGGGUGGGUGUGUUGUGGUCAUUUGUUAUCAUGUUCUAAAGUGUUUUUAACUUAAUUUUGAUAACAAAAGUAAGAGUAAAAUAUUUGUUUUCGCUUGUUCUGUUAAAAAACGAAUUUUGCAAUUUUGUUCCAUUGCGCGCUGUGACAAAAAUUAUUGUAAAUACUUAGCGGUGCACACAAGGCAUUUUAAUAAAUUAGUAAUAUGAUGAGCAUACUUGAAAUGGCCAAUGGAAAACAAAGUUCCCCUCAGUCGCUGGAAUUUUGUUCAUAUCUUGCUUUUAUCUGGUCCAAUCUCAUAAAAUACUGCAUUCUCUGGUCUAUGCCUUUGAAAAAUGCAAAUGACUAGAAAACUUUUCUUUUAGAGGCAGUCGGGACCAAAUGCGAUGUAAUCGCCUUGAGACACACUGUCUUCAGUAGGGAGAAAUUCCUUGAGUGCAGUGUACGCUUUUUUCACUUUUCUUGAGACUGUUGUAGAUUUGAUUUUGGAACGAAUUUGUGUCUUCGAGUAUUGUGUCAUCCUGAUUUAUUCCCAUGGCUUUCUGUAAACUAGACAAGAUUGUGUGAUUGUUGGUUGUCUUCUUUUAAGCGGAAAUAUGCCAUAUCGACAAGAAACAAACAAGUGAAUCUGAUCUUGGCUUAAAAUUUGAAUGUUUUGGGCAUAAGCCUCACAUAAUGUAUUGUAUUAUAUGAUACUUAUUCGCUGAGAAUUAUUUUUAUGAAAGAAUGAGAAACUUUCGUGAUACAUAUUUAUCUUCCCUGGAGCCUCUAAUUAUUGGGAUAAGUUCCAGUGCCUAGGUGUAACAUUAUGUGUGAAUCGUCCGUGUUAAAUUAUAUGUGUCACAUGUAUUCUUUUUGUUAUAUUGUAUUUUUUCUGUAAAGCUGUUGUUUUAAAAAACAACAAGUUGUGAACUGAAGAGCGUCUAGCCAAACAGAUUGCAAGACAAAUUUUAACAAAUUGCAAGAUCUUUAAUUCACAAUUCGUUUUUCUGUCACUGCACCAUGUGACAGAAAGGCUUCAGAGUUGUGAGUUAAACAUUGUAUUGUUCAGCGAGAAACCAAUAGGAAAUUGUUUGAUCUGAUACUACAGAGAUGUAACCAAUAAACAGUUUGUGACUGACAAAUACCAUUUGUGUGGACAUUUUUGUAAAAUAUUGAUGUUAUAAAUCAUGUUGGACUGAAA